This 497-nucleotide ribosomal RNA is filed under the name uncultured bacterium. RNAcentral's name for it is "partial 16S ribosomal RNA". It matches the Rfam family "Bacterial small subunit ribosomal RNA", at positions 28 to 507 of the family's 1533-position model. The record is from RNAcentral.
GAUGAACGCUGGCGGCGUGCCUAAUACAUGCAAGUCGAGCGAACAGACGAGGAGCUUGCUCCUCUGACGUUAGCGGCGGACGGGUGAGUAACACGUGGAUAACCUACCUAUAAGACUGGGAUAACUUCGGGAAACCGGAGCUAAUACCGGAUAAUAUAUUGAACCGCAUGGUUCAAUAGUGAAGGACGGUUUUGCUGUCACUUAUAGAUGGAUCCGCGCCGCAUUAGCAAGUUGGUAAGGUAACGGCUUACCAAGGCAACGAUGCGUAGCCGACCUGAGAGGGUGAUCGGCCACACUGGAACUGAGACACGGUCCAGACUCCUACGGGAGGCAGCAGUAGGGGAUCUUCCGCAAUGGGCGAAAGCUUGACGGAGCAACGCCGCGUGAGUGAUGAAGGUCUUCGGAUCGUAAAACUCUGUUAUUAGGGAAGAACAAAUGUGUAAGUAACUAUGCACGUCUUGACGGUACCUAAUCAGAAAGCCACGGCUAACUACGUG